This 503-nucleotide ribosomal RNA is filed under the name uncultured Synechococcus sp. Its description in RNAcentral is "bacterial SSU rRNA". It matches the Rfam family "Bacterial small subunit ribosomal RNA", at positions 1010 to 1515 of the family's 1533-position model. Lineage: Bacteria; Bacillati; Cyanobacteriota; Cyanophyceae; Synechococcales; Synechococcaceae. The record is from RNAcentral.
GGGAGUGCCUUCGGGAGCGCAGUGACAGGUGGUGCAUGGCUGUCGUCAGCUCGUGUCGUGAGAUGUUGGGUUAAGUCCCGCAACGAGCGCAACCCACGUCUUUAGUUGCCAGCAUUAGUUGGGCACUCUAGAGAGACUGCCGGUGAUAAACCGGAGGAAGGGUGGAUGACGUCAAGUCAUCAUGCCCCUUACAUCCUGGGCUACACACGUACUACAAUGCUACGGACAAAGGGCAGCAAACUCGCGAGAGCUAGCAAAUCCCAUAAACCGUGGCUCAGUUCAGAUCGUAGGCUGCAACUCGCCUACGUGAAGGAGGAAUCGCUAGUAAUCGCAGGUCAGCAUACUGCGGUGAAUACGUUCCCGGGCCUUGUACACACCGCCCGUCACACCAUGGAAGUUGGCCACGCCCGAAGUCGUUACUCCAACCCUUGUGGAGGAGGAUGCCGAAGGUGGGGCUGAUGACUGGGGUGAAGUCGUAACAAGGUAGCCGUACCGGAAGGUGC